Molecule: ribosomal RNA, 90 nt
Filed under: Bacillus amyloliquefaciens
Lineage: Bacteria; Bacillati; Bacillota; Bacilli; Caryophanales; Bacillaceae
Also listed under: 13 other names
Description: partial 16S ribosomal RNA
Rfam family: Bacterial small subunit ribosomal RNA
Source: RNAcentral
UUAUCGGAGAGUUUGAUCCUGGCUCAGGACGAACGCUGGCGGCGUGCCUAAUACAUGCAAGUCGAGCGGACAGAUGGGAGCUUGCUCCCU